AUCAACAAUUUUGGUUGUUUCUCUAAAAUAGGCAUAGGAUCACAAUCUAGCCUGGAUGCUUCCAAUGUCAAUUCUGUGAGACUUGGUGAGAAUUCAACAAUUUCAGGCAAUUUUUGUAUGUGUCCCUUUACGUCCAACUAGGAGAGAUAGUGGCAAGAGUUCAUGGCAAGGGAUGGAAUGCAGGACUCAUCUGAUGCCUUAAGGUGCAAGGAUUUAAGACUAAGUAACUUGGCAAUGGAGUUUGAAAACUUAACCCCUUCAACCUCACACCUUCCUUCUAAUUUCAAUUUCUCAAGACAAGUUAACUCAAUUGAAUUGUUUUGAAUCCAUUGGUUGAAGGUUAUGCCCGACAGAAUUUGAAGAUUUUGCAAUGUAUCAAUUUGCAGUGGAACAUCUUCCUCUUGUCCCUCGAUGUAAAGAUAUCUCAUGUUUUUCAUCUUCCAUAUCACAUUUGGCACUUGUUUAAGAUUGUUUGUCUCCAAAGUCUGCAAACUCCUCAGGUUGCCUAUAGAUGGUUGAAGCAUUUUUAGACCAGUAUGCCUUAAUCCCAAGUACCUUAAUCAGUUCCCCAAUUAUACUUGGCAGGUAUUCCAUUUCUAAACCUUCCAAAUCUAACACUCUUAAGUACUUUGCAGGAUUUGGCAAUGAAAUCUAGUUGCGAUAUUCUACAAGUUCCAUACCCCAAAUUGAAAAAUAAGAGAGAGCGAAGAUAUGGGGUUAAAUGGUCAAUGGAAGCAUACCUCUCAAUGUCAGAAUUAAUACUUUGCCUACGGGAUUUAGAUGAAUUGGUGGAGGGGGAUGGAGGAUCUCCAAUAUUAGUUCCAAUGAAGUUUUUCUCUUUUGCCUUUUCAACAGCCAACUCUCAUACAAGGUCAUGAACUCGACAUGCCAUAACCCUUGCAUUAGCACUCAUUCUCACCACUUGAAUCAAGUUUCUAUUGAUUAACUCAUUAAAGUAAACCUCGGCCAUGUCUUUCAUGCUUUGUUGAUCUUGCUCCAACACAAAACCUUCAGCAAUCCACCAAAGGAGCAGUUUUCUUGUGGAGAUCACAUAAUCUUCUGGGAAGAGGCUUAAGUGAAGAAAGCACGGUUUCAGGUAAGAGGGCAAAUCGAUGUAGCUCAAGUUCAGAACUGUCAUUACUCCCUUUUGGUCUUCUUUAGCAAGGUAUGCACUAAUGUUAUCGUGCACCUUCUUCCAUUCUAUAUGUGACAUAUUUUUCGACAGCAAACCUCCCAAUACUAUAAUGGCCAAUGGUAAACCAUUACAUUUAUCCACCAUCUCUUCCCCAAGUUCCUUCAAAUAUGGGGGAUAGCUCUCAGCAUCAACAUCAAGGAAAGCCUUCCGACAAAUCAAGUCCCAGCUCUCUCGUUUGGAAAGAAGUUGCAUUUCCUAGGGCUUAGUUCAAGCAUCCGCGUGCAAAGCAACAUCCUUAAAUCAAGUUGUAAGAAGUAAUCUGCUGCUCUUACCCCCAUCAGGGAACACAUUUCCAAGGCAAUCAGAAUUGCUGCUGCUCACUCUUGCAAGACAAUCCCAAUCGGCAUGGCUCCAGACAUCAUCUAGAACUAUCAAAUAUCUUUUCCCCUUCAAAUGAUCAUGACGGAAAUCCCCCAACUGGUUCUCUUGAAAUUUCUCCAUCAUCUCUACCUGCUCUUUAGUUGGUGUAGAAACCUGGUUAAUAAUUUGCAUAUAAACCUCUAUAGGUCUACAAUCUUGGGAUACAUAAGCCCAGGCACGACAAUCUGGAAAGUGCUGCACAACUUCUGUAUGAGUAUAGACUUUCUUGGCAAGGGUGGUUUUGCCUAUGCCGCCCAUUCCUACUAUGAAAAUCACGCGGUGGCUUUGGUCUCCUCCGAUCAGCUGCUCCACUAGCUUAAUUAUCUGCUUCUUCUUUCAGGCCCACAAUAACAUGUUCUUCUGCAUGAGGAGAGGACCGUCUAAGAUCCUGCAGCAUCUGAGCUGAAUGGCUUGUUCCGUCUCCAACAUUUUUUAUUACGAGAGCUUCCCGCCUCUUUGAGAUGUCUUGGAGGCUAUGUUGGAUGGCUUCAAUUUUCUUGCCAACAUCGUAGAGGCUCAUCAACUUUUUGAAGGCACGCUUGAGAAGGCAGUUUGUUCUCAGGGCCUCUGCAUUCAGGAUGAACAUGUUCAAUCAUUGCCUUGAUCCUUGCAAUCUGUCUUUAUAGAGUUUAAGCACAUGAUACUCUAGAAAACUUGGCAUCAAAGGGUUCUGAAGAAGGGAAUCCCUGUAAUCCAUUAACAUUCAUCAGCACAAGUUUAUUUGGAUUCCAUUCAGCUGUAUAGACCUUUACGCAUCCUUAGAGAAAAAGGGAAUCCCUUUAACCCAUUACCAAAUUGAAUUAUCAAUAACUGAAUCAUGAUAUGCGAUAACACAGAAAAUAAUUAAAAGCUUAACAUUAAUACAAGAUUAUGAAUUUCAAAUUCUUCACCACAGGCUCCUUAAUCUAGAAAAUGCGCCGUGCCAUUAAAAUGACUUAAACUGGUCUGGUUUCCACCACAAGAAGUUUUGAACUCAUUAAAAAUGAAUAAAUCCUUCUGGGAGGCAAAAAAACUGGAAAAUGAUCAAAAUCCCAACAUAACUAGUUGGCUCAUAGCUUGAUUGUAUUAUGCUUGAAGCUGAAGAAACUCCUCUCGGCCCUUUAUUUUCUUUCAGUGCAAAAACCAGUGAGAGUGAUCAAAGCAGCAACUUUCUUGGAUGUUACAGAAUUGACAAUCACAGCAAAAUCAGGACCCUGCACUACAGAAUACUAAGUUAUAAUCAUCAACACCAAAUAGAAACAUUAAUAUCUUUAUCGAAACUGCUGGGGAAACCAAAUUGUGCCACUUAAUAGCCUCACUCACAGUCAGGUGAUAUUGUAAUUUUUCAUAGAAUGUGAGAUAUUUAGGCCCUGUUUAUUUAGACUGCUAUCUGUUUUCACUUUCACAGAAAACAUGUUUGGAAUGCAUUUUUCCAUUUUCAUUUUCUGGAAAACUGAACUCAAAAAAUAGAAAAAGCCAAAACACCAAUUUGAUUUUUUCAAAAUUUUCUUAAGAAAACUGGACAAAAAAAAAAUGAAAACAAAAAAGGAAAUAAUAUCACAUAAACCUAGUGACACCUACGACAUAAGAGGAAUACAAAUGUUACAAAUAUGAAAAAAAAUAUAUUCAUAUGAAUAAAACAUUAUUUCAUAUAUAUUUGAAAUCAAAUAUUAUCUUAAAAGUAAGACUUAAAUUUUUUAUUUAUUUACUUAAUCAUGGAAUGGUAUAAGUGAAAAUAUUUUUAUAUUAAAAUAAUUUAUUUUAUUAAUAAUAACUAUAUUAAAUCUUUAUUUUAUAAAAUGAAAUGGAAAAUGAAAACCAGAAAACCUUUUUGAAACCAAACACAACCUUAGAUUGUGAUUUGUUUUCAAGGGCAGAUCUAAUGUUUCCAACUAGGACCUCCAAAUCCAAAUGUAAUCAUGAACAGAAAAAAGGAACCCCAAUAUAUAUAUAUAUAUAUUUUUUACUAUAUCACAAGGUAGAUUUAGCAUACCAAGAAUUUUCCGCACAAACAGAAAAAGGAAAAAGAGUAGGAAAAAAUAUACGAAAAGCAAGCACCGAUUAUCACUUAUGUUUGUAAUUUGAAAAUAAAAAAAUAAUAAUAAUACAAAAGGGUUUUUUAUAGGCAAAACAAAGAAGGAUCAAUUAAUAAAGAAAGUUUCUUAAUUUAUUGCUUCCAAUAGCCCCUAAAAAUUUUUGUAAGUUUUUUUAUCAUGAGUUCUUCUUUAUUACUUUUAGUCAAACUAGUGAUUAAUUUUUAAGCCCAACAGUAAGUGCAUACUUUGUUUGGGAAGCUCUGAAGAAUUGCUCCCAAUCACUGAAGCUACAGAAGAGACGAUUUUAUCAGAUGCAGCAUUCACUGGACAGUACCUUCAGAAAACCAGAACAUUCAGGCAGAGAGUACAAAACUACAUUUGACAUCCAAUAACAAAAAGUCGAUGCUAGUCAAAAUUGUGGUUCAAUCAGGUUCUGUUACGAUUGCAGGAUUUCUAUAAUGGCCUAAUCAAGGAUGAUAAUAUUGCUAACUCUUAAGGCUAUAGUAUUGCCCCAAGUUAUAGAGUUCCCAACACAUGUUGACAUGAAACAGCCCCAACUUAAGGACCUAGCAUGCACAAAUAGAGAAGAAUAAACAAAGUUCUCUAAAACCACUCCAAGAUAAAUAAAGUAUUCUACCGUUUAGCUUUGAGUGAGGUUCCAGGUAAGAGUCCCAAUGGAAAGAAAAUAUGAAUAAAAAGGUAAUUACCUAUCAAUAAAAAAAGGUAAAUAAAGAAUUUGAUUCUACCAUAUGAUUUUUUGAACUUCUUCAUUACAUUACAUUUCAAAAUGUAAAACUGCUUUUAUGUUUCAAGAUUGAACUAGAGACUUCAACUCUCAAGGUAUUGUCUAAAAAAAAUCUUCACAAUAAGGAUCAAAAAUGACAAAAUCCAGAAUGUUCUCAGUGCCUAUUCCCAAUUGGAAAGACAAAUUCGGUAUUGGUAUCUUAAGUCAAUAAACACCACUUAAACAACAAAUUUAUUAUCUACAAACUUACAUUUGCAAUGCUCAAAAAAGCUAGUCCAGGGAACCAUGCACAGUCCAAAAGAUCAUUAACGACACUAUUUGACUUACUUUUAAGGAAAGUUAAACCAUGGACUAAAACAAGAUUGGCUUCACAACCAUUACAAACAGGACAGUUCUUAACACGACUAGUUCAAUAAACAUAUGGAAAUAAUGCUCAUAUGAAUUACCGAAACAAGAUCUUUAGGAUUCAAUGCCAAGCUUGAAAGGAUAAACAAGAAGAAAUCUCAUUGAUGUUCUCAAGCACUACAAUCAGCCCAAUCCGGAAAUCGGGUGCAAAUAUCUAAAAACACCUUCAAAAAAGCAUUUUCCAAAUAUGGUAAACUUGCAACAAAAACAUUCACAAUGAAAAUUAAUCAAACAAAAAAAGCCAUAUAUAAGAAACUUAGAAGAUACUACAUAUAAUAAAAGCCAUAUAUAAGAAUAUAUAAUAAUUCAGUACGUUCGUUCAAGAGUUUCUUCAACUAAGUAGAACUCCAAGUAGAGCUCUCUACGCCGUGAAUGGAUUUCAUAUUCUGGAUGUAUCCCAAAACAACUAGUCGCCAUUAUUCGAAACUAUUCAUUGGCAAACACAAUUUGUAGUAGGGGUUUUACAAUCAUAAAUGGAUGGUGUAGCUUGAUUCAGUCAUGCUCGGUUUGCAGAGAUCAAACAUGCAUUAUAAUCCUUCUACUAUCCUCCCAUUACAAACAAUGGUAUUUGAGAAAAAGAGAGCCUAUCAAGUUUUAGCCAUCCAUGUGAUUUUUGGGCAUUAGUAUUUCACAAGUACUUGCCUGGUCUUCAUUUAACCAUGUGUGAUUAGUGGCCAUGAUGCAGCUUUCCUCUCACCACUUAUAGUAUUCUAGAAAGGCAGCUAACCCUUCGACAGCCUUCCUACAGCUCGCUGAUGUUUGACCUGUUGCAGCACAUACCUGAGUAUCACUAGUCCAACUUUUUAUGUAACUGAAGUAAACAUGCGCACAUGUACUAGGAAUCUAAUAGUAAGUAUAGGAGCUUGGGCUUCUCUCUGGCAUCGUUGUUAUGCAAAUUAAAGAACUACGAAUAAUACUUGGCCAUGAAUUACUAGGCUGGGUUGAUUGAAAUCACAUCCAACUAAGGGAAUAAAAACAUAAAUACACACCCAACAAUCAUCCAAGUAAGAGGGGGUUCCAGGCUUACCUUUUUGAUGACAUAACUGAAUUCCAUCGGAGCCGCUUCCAAUGAUUAAAGUGAAAUAAAUAGAAAACCAAAUAAGACAUGUUAGCUAAAUAAAAAGAACAAUAAAAAGAAUUUUAAAAAAAAUCAUUGUUACAAUGUUGAAGAGAUAUAAUUUGAGUUAUUUGAACUUUUUACUUUAUAUUGGAAAGUUAAUGUUAGUACUAUUUUCCUAGUAUGGAUUGGAUAUAUAAAAAAAAACAUUUGCAUUUGUUUUACUUUUUCAAUUGGUAGAUGCAAUUAAGAUUAUUACAUGUGCAAAAGUGAUGAAACUAAAAAAAUGUGUGUGUGAGAGAGAGAGAACGGCAUAGGGCUCAAUGUGUACAAAUUAAAGAGGUGGGAGUAUGGUCUUAAAGAUUCCCGACAUGUAUUUCAUUUUCAAAUAUGCUAUAAAUUUCUUUUAAAAAAAUUAUAAUUAAAAAAUGUUGUAUGAGUAAUUAUAUUGGUCUUAUAUGUUAAUUCAAGAAAUAAGUGAUAGGUAGUAAUUCUAGACUUUUAUAAACAUAUAUUCUAUCACUUUUUGAUGCUUACUGCAUUUUUUACAUUCACUCAUAUAGGAAGGGGGGGAGUGAGGAGUGAUCAAUGAUAUAUAAAAAGUUUCAGUAUAAGAACUCCUUAUAUGUUAAUUAAAUAACCAAUAUAUUGAGGUAUAACAAAAUUGGUAAUUGAAGGGAUCCAAAGUAGAGAGGUGAAAUUAGUUACCAUGUAUGAUCCCAAAGAGGAAUUCUAGCCAUUUUGGACCCGAGAACAAGCCGCAAAUAGGGAAGCGUAAUUUUUACCUCCACCAAAUUUAGCAACUCAUCAAGUCCCGAGAACUUUGUUUUAAAAUAAAAUUGUAGUUGCAUAAGCCAUGGCAUCGCGCCUUUCUCUAUAUUCAACUUCUUCAAUUCCCUCAACUCAAAAAGUUGAAGUACUUUGAGUUGAGGAAACCCAUUUGCAGAUACAUGCAUUUCCUUUCCAAGAUAUGACUUAGCCCUUAAUCUAAGAGUCAACAAUUUUGGUAGCUUCUCCAAAAAGACCAUAUGAUCACAAUCUAGCCUGGAUGCUUCCAAUGUCAAUUGUGUGAGACUUUGUGAGAAUUCAUGGAUUUCAGGGAAUUUUUGCAUGUGUCCCUUUAUGUCCAACUUAGAGAGAUGGAGGCAAGAGUUUAUGGCAAAGGGUGGAAUGUUGGACUCAUCUGAUGCCUUAAGGUACAAGGAUUUAAGACUAAGUAGCUUGGCAAUGGAGUUUAAAAACUCAACUCCUUCUACGUCACACCUUCCUUCUAAUUUCAAUUUCCCAAGACAAGUUAAGUUGCUUGAAUCGUUCUUGAUCCAUUGGUCGAAG
Molecule: long non-coding RNA, 7109 nt
Filed under: Vitis vinifera (wine grape)
Lineage: Eukaryota; Viridiplantae; Streptophyta; Magnoliopsida; Vitales; Vitaceae
Description: long non-coding RNA (VVIN_LNC000607)
Source: RNAcentral